RNAcentral lists this transfer RNA (73 nucleotides) under Salmo salar (Atlantic salmon). It matches the Rfam family "tRNA". Rfam says of the family: Transfer RNA (tRNA) molecules are approximately 80 nucleotides in length. Their secondary structure includes four short double-helical elements and three loops (D, anti-codon, and T loops). Lineage: Eukaryota; Metazoa; Chordata; Actinopteri; Salmoniformes; Salmonidae. The record is from Rfam by way of RNAcentral.
UCCCAUGUGGCUCAGUUGGUAGAGCAUGGUGUUUGCAAUGCCAGGGUUGUGGGUUCGAUUUCCCACGGGGGAC